UGGAAGUGUCCUGUUGCCCAACC
This 23-nucleotide non-coding RNA is filed under the name Mus musculus (house mouse). Lineage: Eukaryota; Metazoa; Chordata; Mammalia; Rodentia; Muridae. The record is from RNAcentral.